GAUGAACGCUGGCGGCGUGCCUAAUACAUGCAAGUCGAGCGAACAGACGAGGAGCUUGCUCCUCUGACGUUAGCGGCGGACGGGUGAGUAACGCGUGGAUACCCUACCUAUAAGACUGGGAUAACUUCGGGAAACCGGAGCUAAUAACGGCUAAUAUAUUGAACCGCAUGGUUCAAUAGUGAAAGACGGUUUUGCUGUCACUUAUAGAUGGAUCCGCGCCGCAUUAGCUAGUUGGUAAGGUAACGGCUUACCAAGGCAACGAUGCGUAGCCGACCUGAGAGGGUGAUCGGCCACACUAGAACUGAGACGCGGUCCAGACUCCUACGGGAGGCAGCAGUAGGGAAUCGUCCGCAAUGGGCGAAAGCUUGACGGAGCAACGCCGCGUGAGUGAUGAAGGUCUUCGGAUCGUAAAACUCUGUUAUUAGGGAAGAACAAAUGUGUAAGUAACUAUGCACGUCUUGACGGUACCUAAUCAGAAAGCCACGGCUAACUACGUG
Molecule: ribosomal RNA, 497 nt
Filed under: uncultured bacterium
Lineage: Bacteria
Description: partial 16S ribosomal RNA
Rfam family: Bacterial small subunit ribosomal RNA
Source: RNAcentral